UUUGGCGACCAUAGCACUUUGGACCCACCUGAUUCCAUCCCGAACUCAGAAGUGAAACGAAGUAGCGCCGAUGGUAGU
This 78-nucleotide ribosomal RNA is filed under the name Vibrio cholerae. The record is from RNAcentral. Lineage: Bacteria; Pseudomonadati; Pseudomonadota; Gammaproteobacteria; Vibrionales; Vibrionaceae.